AGUGGCGGACGGGUGAGUAACGCGUGAGAAUCUGCCUUGGGGUCGGGGACAACCACUGGAAACGGUGGCUAAUACCGGAUAAGCCGAUUGGUGAAAGAUUUAUUGCCCGAAGAGGAGCUCGCGUCUGAUUAGCUAGUUGGUGAGGUAAGAGCUCACCAAGGCAGCGAUCAGUAGCUGGUCUGAGAGGACGAUCAGCCACACUGGGACUGAGACACGGCCCAGACUCCUACGGGAGGCAGCAGUGGGGAAUUUUCCGCAAUGGGCGAAAGCCUGACGGAGCAAGACCGCGUGAGGGAGGAAGGCUCUUGGGUUGUAAACCUCUUUUCUCAGGGAAGAAGCUCUGACGGUACCUGAGGAAUCAGCCUCGGCUAACUCCGUGCCAGCAGCCGCGGUAAUACGGAGGAUGCAAGCGUUAUCCGGAAUUAUUGGGCGUAAAGCGUCCGCAGGUGGCGAUUCAAGUCUGCUGUCAAAGCACGGGGCUUAACUCCGUAAAGGCAGUGGAAACUGAAUAGCUAGAGUGCCGUAGGGGUAGAGGGAAUUCCCGGUGUAGCGGUGAAAUGCGUAGAGAUCGGGAAGAACAUCGGUGGCGAAAGCGCUCUACUGGACGGCAACUGACACUCAGGGACGAAAGCUAGGGGAGCGAAUGGGAUUAGAUACCCC
Molecule: ribosomal RNA, 660 nt
Filed under: uncultured bacterium
Lineage: Bacteria
Description: bacterial SSU rRNA
Rfam family: Bacterial small subunit ribosomal RNA
Source: RNAcentral